CGUGCCUCGGGGGUUUCAUCCGGGUACUCCGGUUUUCUCCCCCGGUCCAAAGACAUGCAUGAUUUAUUUCGUUUCAACAUCUAAACACAGCACAGAAGUCCGGCAUCGUGCAUGCAUUUGAAGUACAAAACCCCUGUACAAAGAUGCCGGCGGUUUUGGCGCAUUUUUAGGACCCCAAGGCGACAUCUAUGUAUAGAUAUCUAUGUGUUUUAACAAGAACAUAAAUAAAUUCUGUUUUGAAUCCUC
Molecule: long non-coding RNA, 246 nt
Organism: Tachysurus fulvidraco (yellow catfish)
Lineage: Eukaryota; Metazoa; Chordata; Actinopteri; Siluriformes; Bagridae
Exons: 2
Source: RefSeq, a predicted model, not a curated record